This 382-nucleotide ribosomal RNA is filed under the name uncultured eukaryote. Its description in RNAcentral is "partial 18S ribosomal RNA". It matches the Rfam family "Eukaryotic small subunit ribosomal RNA", at positions 592 to 976 of the family's 1831-position model. The record is from RNAcentral.
UGUAAGCGUAUACCAAAGUUGUUGCAGUUAAAACGCUCGUAGUCGGAAUUUGGCAGUUCCGGAUGUGUGCACGUCGUGUGCGCACUUCGCGGGGAUUGCUUUUGUGGUCUUGCGUAGGAUGAGGCACUUUUAUUAGUGAACGUCCUCACGCAACCACUUUUUACUGUGAGAAAAUCAGAGUGCUCAAAGCAGGCAUUUGCCGUGAAUGUAUUAGCAUGGAAUAAUAGAAUAGGACUUGGUUCUAUUUGGUUGGUUUGUUGGGACUGAGUAAUGAUUAAGAGGGACAGUUGGGGGCAUUUGUAUUUCGGUGCUAGAGGUGAAAUUCUUAGAUUACCGAAAGACAAACUGCUGCGAAAGCGUCUGCCAAGGAUGUUUUCAUUGA